UUUGAGAUCGUAGCGAAUGUAAUCGUACACCUUUCUGCUCACCACUCUUAGCUUCAUUUCGACAAGAAUAAAAACAAAACGGGAAGUGCGAAGUCUCUAAUCACCAAUUCUUGGCCCUUUUAAUGGACGGAGAAACUACAGCAAUUAAUUUAUUUCCACUGCGUUAUUAGAGACGGCAACGCCAGACCACCUAGGGCUGGGAGAGGCGAGGAAACAGCAGAAGACGAGUGAUCAACACUGUGAAGGUCACUGCCAUGUUCUGUUCUUCGCUCAAAU
RNAcentral lists this unclassified non-coding RNA (276 nucleotides) under Hevea brasiliensis (rubber tree). The record is from RNAcentral. Lineage: Eukaryota; Viridiplantae; Streptophyta; Magnoliopsida; Malpighiales; Euphorbiaceae.